Molecule: long non-coding RNA, 1502 nt
Organism: Eucalyptus grandis
Lineage: Eukaryota; Viridiplantae; Streptophyta; Magnoliopsida; Myrtales; Myrtaceae
Exons: 3
Source: RefSeq, a predicted model, not a curated record
CCCGAGACAAACCCGACGGAGCGCCUGGCCCGAACCCCAUUUUUGGGGUCGGGGCAGAUGAUUCAGGUGCGCAUACAAACCCUAAACGGAGACACUGAAAACCUUCCUCUUCGUGGAGAACCCUAAUGACGAUCGGCGGCGGGUGCGUUGGUUUGCGCCUCCGUCGAGCGAGUUCUUCGCUUGUCCAGUUGCUCCUUCUUCUUCACGAAUCACGUGUUCGUCCAGCCGGAGAAAUUCGAGGAUGGGGAUGGAGGAAGUGUUGAAUCUCCGUGGGUGGUUCAGCGUGUUCCGUGAAGGAAGAAUGAGCAAUCUAAACAACCGAAGAAGUCACCCGACGGAAUGUGCUCGACUUUCAGGAUGCUUGCUGUGGAAUCCGACGGCGAUGAUGUUUCUCAAACAGGUGAUGUAUCGGAUAGCAUUCUGCAGGUGACGAGUGUUCGAAGGAAGAUAGGCUGAUAAGUGUGCAGGCUGUUGUACCUCCAGAUUGGGAAAUAUUCACAGAAUCUUUAUAGAAAUGUUGAUUUAUGCUCGCUUUUUAGGCUUGAUCGAGGAAGGCUGAACUUUGGCUCUGCAGUUUGUUUAUUCUUCUAUGCAGCUGCUGAAUUCUACGAAAAGAAUUUUAUCAGCAACGAUGAACUGGAUAAAGGGUGUAGACGCAGAAUUUCGGAGGAUAUCCGUUUUACAGAUGCACAUGCCAAGGUCGUCAAAGUAGAUAGCUUCUCCUUAUAUUAUAUCUAUUGCACUUUGCAGGUUUAUGAGUGUCCUGUACGACUUGCUCAAUGGGACCGUCGGUAAUGCGAAAUUUUAGGAUGAUUGCAGCGAUAUAAUUCGAAAUCAGUCUUGUGUGCUCUUUACAAGUUGGAUACAUAAGCCGAUGAGGCAGACUUUUUCUUGUUACAUCGUCAUUUAGCUGCAUCUGAUGAUGAGGACAACAAGCUUAAAUCACGGAAAGUUUAAGUUUUGUUGAUUCAGCGUAUUUGUGAGAGUGCAUGUAUCUUCCUCCACGAUGAUGACAUAUACAGAAUGGAAUUUUCGUUUGUUGCUGCUCCUUUGUCCAUUCUGUUUAUGGACAAUCCAAAGAAGAACCUUAAGUGUUUGCAGUUUCCGCAGAUCUUAAUUUUGAUGCUGUCUGCACAAUGAUUAUCUGAUAGUCCUCUCCUAUCAGAAAAGAGCCACGGCAUAUUUCUUGCGAGAUGGUUGUAUCUCCUAAAACUCACAAUGGAAUCAGUCUUUUAAAUCAGUUGAGGACCCAGUGCUCUGCCCCCUCCUAUGUUGUCUAUAGAUUGCUAUUCAAUGUACCGCUUAGGCACAGCAAAUGCAGAGAAGUACUUGAUUGAGAAUGUGAUACAGGAUGGGAAGAGAGCCCCUAUGUGGCAAUGUUGCUUUUUUUCUUGAUUCUUUACUUGAAGGAGCAUAGGCGCUUUUAUUUUGAAAUGAAUAUUAUGUCUUUGGAUAUUCUGUCCAUAUUUCUGUUCCUCAAACAUGAUUCCUCAAUUUUUGUA